RNAcentral lists this ribosomal RNA (426 nucleotides) under uncultured bacterium. Its description in RNAcentral is "bacterial SSU rRNA". It matches the Rfam family "Bacterial small subunit ribosomal RNA", at positions 354 to 777 of the family's 1533-position model. The record is from RNAcentral.
GUGAGGAAUAUUGGUCAAUGGGCGCGAGCCUGAACCAGCCAAGUCGCGUGAGGGAAGACGGUCCUAUGGAUUGUAAACCUCUUUUGCCGGGGAGCAAGCUGUGCCACGUGUGGCGCAGCUGAGAGUACCCGGAGAAAAAGCAUCGGCUAACUCCGUGCCAGCAGCCGCGGUAAUACGGAGGAUGCGAGCGUUAUCCGGAUUUAUUGGGUUUAAAGGGUGCGUAGGCGGACUGUCAAGUCAGCGGUAAAAUUGAGAGGCUCAACCUCUUCCCGCCGUUGAAACUGGUGGUCUUGAGUGGAUGAGAAGUACGCGGAAUGCGUGGUGUAGCGGUGAAAUGCAUAGAUAUCACGCAGAACUCCGAUUGCGAAGGCAGCGUACCGGCAUCCAACUGACGCUGAGGCACGAAAGCGUGGGGAUCAAACAGGA